RNAcentral lists this long non-coding RNA (368 nucleotides) under Gossypium barbadense (sea-island cotton). RNAcentral's name for it is "long non-coding RNA (GBAR_LNC003370)". The record is from RNAcentral. Lineage: Eukaryota; Viridiplantae; Streptophyta; Magnoliopsida; Malvales; Malvaceae.
CCUUCGAUCCUUUGCAACUUCUUCCUCAACUCUAAUCGGCACCUCCUCAAUCCAAUAAGCGAGCACCGAAAACUCUCUUCCCUCUUCCGUCAUUGCAUGUGCCAUCCGAUUUGCCAAUCUAGGUGCAAAUCUAACUAUAAUUUCCGCAAACUUCCUUUAACUCUCUUUAAUCUCCUUUAUUAUUAGAGCAGCAACAUUAGAUCUAUCCUCCUCUAAUUCCUGGGCUUUCUUUACGGUUGUUAGUGAAUCUCCCUCCACCACCAAUUUCUAGAAGCCUAACUCUUCAGCCAUCACUAAAGCUUGAAGACAGGCUUGUGCCUCCGCCGUCAUUGGAUCUGCCACAUAUUCAUUAGGGUACACAUAUGCUG